RNAcentral lists this ribosomal RNA (477 nucleotides) under uncultured bacterium. RNAcentral's name for it is "bacterial SSU rRNA". It matches the Rfam family "Bacterial small subunit ribosomal RNA", at positions 30 to 490 of the family's 1533-position model. The record is from RNAcentral.
AUUGAACGCUGGCGGCAGGCCUAACACAUGCAAGUCGAGCGGAAACGAAAAGUAGCUUGCUACUCCGGCGUCGAGCGGCGGACGGGUGAGUAAUGCCUAGGAAAUUGCCCUGAUGUGGGGGAUAACCAUUGGAAACGAUGGCUAAUACCGCAUAAUGCCUACGGGCCAAAGAGGGGGACCUUCGGGCCUCUCGCGUCAGGAUAUGCCUAGGUGGGAUUAGCUAGUUGGUGAGGUAAUGGCUCACCAAGGCGACGAUCCCUAGCUGGUCUGAGAGGAUGAUCAGCCACACUGGAACUGAGACACGGUCCAGACUCCUACGGGAGGCAGCAGUGGGGAAUAUUGCACAAUGGGCGAAAGCCUGAUGCAGCCAUGCCGCGUGUAUGAAGAAGGCCUUCGGGUUGUAAAGUACUUUCAGUCGUGAGGAAGGGGGUAGUUGUUAAUAGCCAACAUCUCUUGACGUUUAGCUAACAGAAGAAG